Molecule: non-coding RNA, 100 nt
Organism: Acanthosepion pharaonis
Lineage: Eukaryota; Metazoa; Mollusca; Cephalopoda; Sepiida; Sepiidae
Source: the annotation of a GenBank genome assembly
CGUGGAAUCACCUAUUCUCGUACGAUCGCCGAGGUUAAGCAACGUCGAGCCUGGCAAGUACAUAGAUGGGUGACAGCUUGGGAAUACCAAGUGCUGUAAG